RNAcentral lists this ribosomal RNA (253 nucleotides) under uncultured bacterium. Its description in RNAcentral is "partial 16S ribosomal RNA". It matches the Rfam family "Bacterial small subunit ribosomal RNA", at positions 524 to 776 of the family's 1533-position model. The record is from RNAcentral.
UACGUAGGGUGCAAGCGUUGUCCGGAAUUAUUGGGCGUAAAGAGCUCGUAGGCGGUCUGUCGCGUCUGCUGUGAAAACUCGGGGCUUAACCCCGGGCCUGCAGUGGGUACGGGCAGACUAGAGUGCGGUAGGGGAGACUGGAAUUCCUGGUGUAGCGGUGAAAUGCGCAGAUAUCAGGAGGAACACCGAUGGCGAAGGCAGGUCUCUGGGCCGCUACUGACGCUGAGAAGCGAAAGCAUGGGGAGCGAACAGG